CGCACAUUGCGCCCAUUAGUAUUCUAGUGGGCAUGCCUGUUCGAGCGUCAUUUCAACCCUUAAGCCUAGCUUAGUGUUGGGAAUCUACUAUCCGGGCGGCCCUACCCUGUAGCGGUUUGCCCUGUAGUUCCUCAAAAUGAACGGCGGAACAGUGGUAUCCUCUGAGCGUAGUAAAUCUUUAUCUCGCUUCUGUUAGGUGCCGCUGCUCCUGCCGCUAAACCCCCAAAUUUUAAUGGUUGACCUCGGAUCAGGUAGGAAUACCCGCUGAACUUAA
RNAcentral lists this unclassified non-coding RNA (274 nucleotides) under Xylariales sp. Its description in RNAcentral is "partial contains 5.8S ribosomal RNA, internal transcribed spacer 2, and large subunit ribosomal RNA". Lineage: Eukaryota; Fungi; Ascomycota; Sordariomycetes; Xylariales. The record is from RNAcentral.